RNAcentral lists this long non-coding RNA (461 nucleotides) under Vigna radiata. Its description in RNAcentral is "long non-coding RNA (VRAD_LNC015122)". Lineage: Eukaryota; Viridiplantae; Streptophyta; Magnoliopsida; Fabales; Fabaceae. The record is from RNAcentral.
GGGGAUGCGAAAAUUUUUAUGUAUCUACUAAAGGAUACAAGGUAAGAACACCUACUCAAGGGUGUUAGAAGGAGAAGCACUUACUGAUGAGUGCUAAACAGGUUUGGGUCAGGCUCGUGAUGUUGAACAAGCGCUACCUGGAAGGCAAUCCAGUUGAUUAUUUUGUUUUAAUCCCGUGUUAAGUGCAUUACAUGUUGAUGAUUGCAUCUGAGAGGGGAAAGGUAUAUAUUUGAGAAAUUGAAGGUUGAAAUUAAGUGCUAGAGGGAAAAAUUACUCAAAAGAAUGGAAAAAGAGGAAGAAGAGAAAUCACGCGCAAACCGUUGAGCGGUGCAUUUUUCCGCUGAGCGGUUGCGGUGCUAAGGGGUUUGGCUUUGCUUAAAAGCUGAGCGGUUUUCCACAUUUGACACUUUGAAACUCUUCUUUGCAUUUCGCUUGAGCGGACUCCCCAAGCCCUAACACCC